RNAcentral lists this ribosomal RNA (478 nucleotides) under uncultured bacterium. Its description in RNAcentral is "partial 16S ribosomal RNA". It matches the Rfam family "Bacterial small subunit ribosomal RNA", at positions 28 to 507 of the family's 1533-position model. The record is from RNAcentral.
GAUGAACGCUGGCGGCGUGCUUAACACAUGCAAGUCGAACGGGAAACCUUUUAUUGAAGCUUCGGCAGAUUUAGCUGGUUUCUAGUGGCGGACGGGUGAGUAACGCGUGGGUAACCUGCCUUAUACAGGGGGAUAACAACCAGAAAUGGUUGCUAAUACCGCAUAAGCGCACGGGACCGCAUGGUCCGGUGUGAAAAACUCCGGUGGUAUAAGAUGGACCCGCGUUGGAUUAGCUAGUUGGCAGGGUAACGGCCUACCAAGGCGACGAUCCAUAGCCGGCCUGAGAGGGUGAACGGCCACAUUGGGACUGAGACACGGCCCAGACUCCUACGGGAGGCAGCAGUGGGGAAUAUUGCACAAUGGGGGAAACCCUGAUGCAGCGACGCCGCGUGAAGGAAGAAGUAUCUCGGUAUGUAAACUUCUAUCAGCAGGGAAGAUAGUGACGGUACCUGACUAAGAAGCCCCGGCUAACUACGUG